RNAcentral lists this ribosomal RNA (301 nucleotides) under uncultured bacterium. Its description in RNAcentral is "partial 16S ribosomal RNA". It matches the Rfam family "Bacterial small subunit ribosomal RNA", at positions 509 to 807 of the family's 1533-position model. The record is from RNAcentral.
CAGUCGCCGCGGGAAUACAGAGGGUGCGAGCGUUAAUCGGAUUUACUGGGCGUAAAGCGUGCGUAGGCGGCUUCUUAAGUCGGAUGUGAAAUCCCUGAGCUUAACUUAGGAAUUGCAUUCGAUACUUGGAAGCUAGAGUAUGGGAGAGGAUGGUAGAAUUCCAGGUGUAGCGGUGAAAUGCGUAGAGAUCUGGAGGAAUACCGAUGGCGAAGGCAGCCAUCUGGCCUAAUACUGACGCUGAGGUACGAAAGCAUGGGGAGCAAACAGGAUUAGAUACCCCAGUAGUCCCUGUCUCUUAUAC